UUUUCUUACCAUUGAGAAAUUUAUGAAAAUAAAUUAUAAAAGCAAUAAUAUCAUACAGAUCAUAACUUUAUGCACGACCAACAACAUAGAACAUAUCAUAAAUUCAUAUUUAUUAACAAUAAACGAAAUCGUAACCGUUUCUCGUUUUACCAGCCUACUAGUAUCCAUGGGGAUCCAUAGGGGUGUCCCCGCUACACGUGAACCCUUUUCCUUAACAGUCUUAAUUACAUAGCCAGCUCCAUACCCCGUUCGGUAUGAGGGUGAAGCAGGCUGUCCUCAUACCCCGUCCAGUAUGAGCACCAAAUGACCAAGUCUUCAUACCCUGUCUGGUAUGAGACAACGUUCACGGUAGGGCUCCCCAUGAACCCUGUAACGGCCCCAAAAAUUUAAAAAGAAAUACAUAUAAUAAUUUGAGUGCGGAAGUGAAAUAAAGAUUAAAGUUAACAUCCCUUACACGAUAACUUAAAAGUACUAAACAAACAUCACAAAAUAAAUUCUCUGAAAGAAAUACGAGAAAUAAAAAAAAUAAAGGAAACUAUAAAGUAUCUAGCUUCUACUCGUAGCCUUCUUGCAGAUCGAGCUCGGAAGCUAGGUCCUCCUGAUAUGAAAUGGUUAAAUAAGGGGUGAGCUACACUAACUCAGUAAGGACAUCACACUAUAUCGCCGGCACAGAAGUAAAGGUUGGUAGAAAAUAAAAAAUAAUCAAUGGAGUACAAAUUUUAAAUAAAUUCGUUUAUCAUAAAUAAAACCAUUUACUCUCUUACUUACCAUUGGGGAAUCUGUGAAAAUAACCUAUAAAAGAUAAUAACGUCAUACAGAUCAUAACUUCAUGCACAAUCAGUAACAAUAGAAUAUAUCAUAAAUUCAUAUUCAUUAACAAUAACUAAUCAUCACCGUUUCUCGUUUCACCAGCAUACUAGUAUCCAUGGGGAUCCAUAGAGGUGUCCCCGCUACACGUGAAUAAUUUUUCUUAACAAUCUUAAUUCCAGGGCCGUCCCCAUACCUCGUCCGGUAUGAGCGCCAAUACAUUAAACCUCAAUACCGCAUCCGGUAUGAGGGUUAAGCGGGCCAUCCCCAUACCCCAUCCGGUAUGAGCACAAAAUGACCAAGUCUCCAUACCACGUCCGGUAUGAGAAAAUAUUCACGGUAGGGUUCUCUAUGAACCCGGUCCGUCCACCAUCUCCCAGGAUAUCUAGUGAGACUGUCACCAUAUCUGUUUAUUAGAUCACAUCCCUUUCCUAUUUCUCCUUAAUCUCCGUUACCAAGUUAAACACAAUCACAUAAAUAAUGAACAUGCACCCGGUAAUACAAUCAUAUCUUAAAUCCCAAAAUCACACAGUGAUCAAGUAAGACAUGCAUAUAAAACCCUAAAUCAGAUACCAUCAUGCCUUUAAACUGUAAAAUAAAUCAACAUGAAUCAACAGAGAAUAAUGUCCGAUUUCAGGCUCCAUUAGCAAUCCGUAAUUAAUUAUGCAUAUUUAUCUAACUUGUACAAAAGAUCGUAUUAUUAUUUAUUCAAACUUCAAAUUUAUGAUAGAAAAUAAGGUGAGGGGUCCUUACUUGAUUCGACACCGAAAACUAAAUGGCUACUGCGCCUACGAGCGGUCCCUAGGUUCCUUGAAUUUUUCUUCAGAAACUGGAACGCGCUUACGGUACCUACAAAUGUCCUAAAUAAACCCAAAAGUCAGUCUCAGGGCCUACUCGGCCAAUUUUAAAAAUCCGGCACGGCGGCUCCGCUGUGCUCCAGCGACGGCGUCGCCGCCUGCAGUGGCGACCCGCCCUGGGUUGGCUGUUUUGGUCUAUUUUUUACCGAAUUCAGCCAAACUUGCAUUGGUUCCUACGAGAAAACACACUUAGGGCCUUUGGUUGGCUGAAAAAAAUGUAGAAUACUGAAACUCACCGGCAGUGGGGCUCUCUAGUGCGGCGGCUCCUCCGGCUCAAGUUGCGGUUGGGUGUUUUGCUUCUGUCAACCUGUAUAGAAGAAAACGGUGAUCAUAACAAUAGAAAAUCACAUUGAACGGGAAUCAGAAAGGGCCUCAUCGGAGGCAUUUUUUGAACAUCCUGUGGUGGCUCCGCCGAGCUUUGGCUGCAUUUUUAGCCAAUUGGUCGGUUCUUUCACUCGAUUUGCCAUGUGUGGGUUUAAAUUGANNNNNNNNNNNNNNNNNNNNNNNNUCCAGCGAGGGCUCUGCGGCUAGGGUUAGGGUUUGGUGUGAUGAGUUAUUUAUACCCAUCUGCUUUUGAUCUGGGUUGUCCAUCGCUUUUAAUCUGUACCGUCCGAUCGCGAUUAAAUAGGGAGUGAAUCUGGACCGUUCAUCGCGAUUCAAUUUGGACCGUCCGUGCACGAUGCAAUCUGGACUGUCCGUGUGCAUUAUGAAUCUGGGCCGUCUGUGCGCGCAGGAACGGAUCUUAGCUGUUCGAUUGCGCACACACGGAUUGACCACGUGGUUCCCCCCGCGUGGCCUCCCACGUAAGUGCCUCUGCCACUUGGCACGUCCUGGUUGGUCAGGGCUGCUGACCUGGCAUCUGACGUGACACAAUUUUUUUAAUUUGUGUUUUGACCCCCGAUUUCUGAUUUUUCUUUCAAAAAUACCCAUAGAACCCAAAUUUUCACAUCUUUUUCUUAAAAUUAUUUUUAAUUAAAUCCUUAACUAAUUUUUCACCAUUUUUAUUAUUAUUAUUAUUUUUAUUAAAUCAUAAUAAAAUAAAAUAAAAUAAAAUAAAAUAAAUUAAUAAAUAAUUAUAUUCAUAAUAAAAUAAAAAAAAAUAAAUGUUGGAUGUUACAACUCUCCCCCCUAAAAGAAAUUUGAUCUUUCAAAUUUGUCUCCUACUGUCGAUCGAACAGCUGGGGAUACUGGGCUCUAAAAUCUGAUUCUAGUUCCCAUGUGGCCUCCCUUGGUGUGUGGUUCUGCCAUAUGACCUUUACAAAAGGUAUUUUUGGGUUGCGGAGUAACCUGCUCUUUCGAUCCGCAAUAUCGACUAGUACUUCCUCGUAGGAUAAAUCCUCCUGGAGUGGAAGAGGUUCGUGGGCCAAGACAUGAGAGGGAGGGCCUAACACAAUACUUAAAAAUAUCUAAUACAAUACUCAAAAAUUAAUUCCAAAAAUUACAGAGAAACUGAACUUUAAAACUUAAGAAAAAGCUUACCCCUUUUGAUCGUGAGCCUUAUUCCUCUUCUCUUCUUCUUUCUCCGCUCUCACAAAUUUAGUAGAGUUUUCCUAAAAUUUUUAUUUAAAACAUCAAAAUACUCUAAAAAAUCACACAUUUCGUACUUCCUCUUCUUCUUUCACCUCUAUGCUUUUCAUUAUUUUUCUCUCUUCUAGAAUGUCUUUUCCUCCCUUCUCCUAUCCCCCUAUUUAUAAGAGUGGGGAGCCAUGAGGGAAAGGUUGCCACCAUUCCGUCUUACUAUUUCAUCUAAAAGUUGUUACCUUUUAUCAUGUCACUUCACUUAAAAGAUUACCACUCUUCACAUGUUGUUUUAUCUAAAAGACUUUUUCACAUGCUACUUCAUCUAAAAGGUUACCACUUUUAACAUGUCGUUUUAUUUAAAAGGUUUUUUCACAUGUCACUUUAUCUAAAAAGUUAUUACUUUUCACAUGUCACUUCAUCUAAAAGUUAUCAUUUUCUAUUAAGUUAUUUUAUCUAAUAGUUACCAUUUUUUAUUAUACCACUUUAUUUAAAAAUUUUCACCUUUUUUCAUGCCUCUUCAUGCUUAUUCUAGCUCCUUCAUCCUUAUCCAUCAUUUUUUCGUUUGAUUCUAAACUAUGACAUUAACUUUAUUAUAUAUUUUCAAACACAUACAAAACUAAAUUAAAUAUAUCAAAUAUAAGAAAUUAACUCGGAGGUAUUUUUAAGCUAUUACAUAUCCUUUGUUUGGAUGAUGAUAUUUCGUGGUUAAUUUUAUUUAGGGUAUGGUGUUGGGAUGAUGAAAUCCUAUUUGUUUCCUGAUAGUAUGGUUAUGAGAGUGUUUCAUGGUAUCCAAAAGGAAAAUUUUGGUCAAAUUUUUUGGUGAUUUUUUAUGGGCUUAGAUUUUUGUUCCGGUUAUACUUUCAUUAAAUUUUAUUAAUUCAUGUUUUACCCUAAAAAAACUCUCAAUUUUUCUAAAUUUUUUAGUCACUUAUAAAUAAAUGAAUAAAUUUUAAUUAAUUAAUAAUAAUUUGAGUUAUUUUUUAAAAUAUUUAAAUAUGAUUUAAUUAUUUUAUAUUUAUUUAUUAAAAAUAGAGUGAAAAUAAAAAUUUAAAAUAAAUAAAAAAAUAUUGAAAAUUAAUUUAUGAUAAAAAUAUUAAAAAUAAAUUGUAGUAAAUAUCACAAUUUUCAUGUAAAUUUAAAUUUACCUUAGAUUUAAAUAUAAUUAUUUAUGAAUAUUAAUCAGUAAAAAUAAAUAACUUAUAAAUGAAUGGGGGAAAAGUUAAACACCAAAUGAGGUUCAACUCCAAACGAAUGAAUGACAAGCUAAAUAACUUAUAUUGAUCGGGUACCUAUUAAUAAGAUAAUGAUUGAAAUAAGUAAGUUAAUUGAAUGUAUGUAAGUAUUUAAUUAUUUAAAAAUUAUCAAAACUGAAAAUUGUUCUCAAUAAAAUUUAUUUAUUUACUUUAUUUAUAUCAUAGAAAUGAUAAUAAUAAAUAUUAUGUAAUAGACAAUUUUUUAGAUUUUUUUCAAUUUAUAAUCAUAAAUAAAAAUUUCCAGUUUUAAAUUAAUUAUAAAAAUUUCUAGUUUUAAAUUAAUUAUAAAAAAUUAAAUUUUUGUUCUUCAUAACAAAUUGUUUUUUCAUAUUUUAAAAAAACUAUUAAAAAUUAUAAUUUAAAUAAUUUUACAAGUUAAAUAACUAAAUUACAAGUUAAAUGAAUAUUUUUUUAUCUAAUAUUAUAUAUAAUAAGAUAUGAACAAAUAUUAUGAAAAAUGUGACACUAGCAAAGAAGAUGACUUCAACAGCAUCGGAAAUAAGCUUUUUUGUAACACCCAAGUAUUUUUAAUUUUAUUCUUAUUAUUUUUAUUUUUCUUUUUUUUUUGUAUUUGAAUUUUUCAGAUUUUUAUUUAAUUUAAUUUAAUGAAAAUAAAAAUAAUAAUAAUGAUAAAACUGGGUAAAAAUAUUAUUUGGAUUUAAUUGAAAUUGAUUUUGGGAAAAAGGGGUGAAAAUUUGGAUUCUGGGGGUAUUUUUGAAAAGAAAAUCGGAAAUCGGGGGUCAAAAUGCAAUUUAGAAAAGUUAUACCACGUCAGCAGCCACGUCGGCAGCUCGGUCAGCAGCCCCAGCCAACCAGGACACGUCGCGUGGCAAGGAGACGCUGACACGGGACGGGCCACGUGGGCGAUCCGCGUGCGCGCGAUCGGACGGCCCAGAUCCGUUCCCGCAUGCACGGACGACCCAGAUCAAAUAUGCGCACGGACGGCUCAGAUUCACGCGUACGGACGACCCAGAUUCAAUCAGGUACGGACGGCUCAGAUUGCAUCGCGAUGGACGGUCCAGAUUUAAUCCCAAUUAAAUCGCGAUCAGACAGUUCAGAUUUAAUAUUGAUGGACGGUUAAGAUUAAAAGGCAAAGGGUAUAAAUAACCCCACCCACACUUGACCACAAAACCCUAGCCGCCAUUGCUUUGCCGGAGAAGAAGAACAAGACGCCGGAGAAGCCGUCUGUCGCCACCCGCCGCCGCACCGGAGAGGUUUCUGACCGCCAAUUGAGGUAAAUUUUCUCCCCCUGGCUCAUUUUUUGAUGCUGAGUCCGCCUAUGGCCAAACCAGAGCGAAACCACCAGCCAAACGGCCGAAAAACCUAGCCGAAGUCCGACAGCGCCGCCGCGACUCCCCUCUGUUUUUGCCUCCGAUGAGGCCCUUCCUGGCCUCCGUUCGAUGCAAAUUUUAUACCACUGUGAUCACCGUUCUUUUCUCUACAAGUUGAUUGGAGCCAAACAUCAAAACGCGACUCACACCGGAGGAGCCGCCGCACUCGAGAGCAUCGCCGUCGGUAAGUCUCAGUUUUUUGUGAUUUUUUGGCCCACCGAGGGCCCUAGGGUUGUUUUAUCGCUGGGACCGAUGCAGGUUUGGCCGAAUUCGACCGAAAAUGGCUGAAAACGGCCAACCCGAGGUGGAUCGCUGUCACCUGCGGCAGCGCCGUCGCCGGAGCACGGCGGAGCCGCUAUGUCAGAAUUCUGAUAUUGGCCAAAAGGGGCCCUAGGUCUAAUUUAGGAUUUUUUUUGGGACACAUGUAGGUACCGGUAGUGCGUUUCAGUUUUUCGAAAAAAAUUCAGGAAAAUUAGGGACAGCUUGUAGGCGCACUGUAGAGUCGGUUUCAGACCCCGAAACAAGUAAGGAUCUCUCACCCUAUUUCCUAUCACGGUAUUAAAACUAAAUAAAUAAUUAAAUUGUACUUUAUGAAUUUAUAGAUGUAUAGUUGAUUAAGGUUGCCAAUGGAACCCGAGUCUGAUACAGUGUUAGUCUAUUGUUGUUUGAUCUAUUCUUCAGUAUUAAAUGCAGCAUGAUGUCUGAUGUAUUUAUUUUAUGGUCUCGUAUGCAUGAAUCAUAGUUUCUUUUAUUAUGGUUGAUAUUAUGGUUAACCCGAUACUGUGUUGUCUUGUUUGCUGUCAAUUACUGGUUUACAUGUUGUGUAUGAUUGGAUGAUUGAGAUUAAGAAAAAAAGCAGAAAGCUUAUGUGAAUUGAUAAGUGAAAAAUGUGGACAGCCUGACUGGAUAUCCUGGGAGAUGGUGGAUGGACCAGGUCCGUAGGGAACCCUACCGGGAACGUGGUCUCUCAUACUGGACGGGGUAUGGAGACCUUAUGUGUUUUGGCGCCCAUACCGGACGGAGUAUGGGGACGGCCCGUUUCACCUUCAUACCGGACGGGGUAUUGAGGUUCAUGGUUUUGGCGCCCAUACCGGAUGUGGUAUGGGGACGGCCAUAGAAUCAGGUUGUAAUAUUAAUGGUUCACGGGUAGCGGGGACCCCCUAUGGAUCCCCAUGGAUACUAAUAGGCUGGUAAAGAGGAAAAUAUGUUGUUUAAUGAUUGAAAUGCAAAGGUGUGGUAAGUGUUAUGUUAUAAAAUUUAUAUGAUUUCAUGAUGAUGAUAAUGUUAUUGCUUUCAUAUGUUGUUUUCAUGGAUCUCACCGAGAUAAGUGGACAGUAAAUGUUCUUAUGUUAAUAAACGAGUUUGUUAUAAAUUAUGCUCCAUUGGUCAUUUUUGUUUUCUACCCACCUUUACUUCCGUGGUGGUGAGAUAGUGUGAUGUCUUUACUGGGCUGGUGUAGCUCAUUCCUUAUUUAAUCAUUUUAGAUCAGGAAUACGUUGUUCCCGACCUCGUUCUACAGGAAGACGACGAAGGGGACGCCUAAAGACUUCAUAAUUAUAUUUAUAGUUCUUAUUUCGAGUAUCUCUUUUAGUUAGCUUGUUCCUUCAUGUUUUGAGUACGUUUUGGUUAUUGUGUAAGGGAUGUUAAUUAAAAUUUUUAUUACGCUUCCGCAUUCGAGAUUUUUAAUACAUACAUUUUAUUUAAAUUUUUGGGGCUGUUAUAUUUUUAACAAUCAAAAUGUAUUAGGCAUGGAAAGUACAAGUUAUAGCGGAGAAUAUGGAUUAGAGAGCAUGAGUUUUGAGGAUGACUUCUAGCUAUAGAACAUGAGCUUUUUAGACAUGCAGCAUCAAUUUGGAUCAGAAGAGUUUGGGAAUAUGAUAAUGGGAAAUGAAUUUGGAUAUGUGAGAAUGACAACUAUGAGAUCAAAUGAUGAACAUGAGGCUCAAGAAAGGGGAAAUAAAAGUUCAACUGAUCAAUUUUGGCUUUUUAUAUUCAAUUUGGAUGACAAUCACUCAAGUUUUUGGGAUUGAAGAAAUAUUCAAGGAUUUCAAAAAAUAAAACAAAACCCUCACAAUAACAAUUUUAUUGUUCAUGUUUCUUUUGUUCUCGUGUUUUGUCUUUAGAUUCAUGAUUUAUCUUUAUAUUUUUUCUAAUCUUUCAUUGUCAUAUCUAAAUGAUGUUUUUGUCUCUCUCAUAGAGUUUAUUAUGGGACUUAAUGUUUGCAAUAAUAACUGAAGACAAAUGUAUUAUAAAAGAUAAACCCAUGAGCUUACGUACAAGUAUCUUUUAUAUUUUUUACCGUUAAGAGAUGGAAGUUGGAUGAAUCUCUAGUGGCUCCUUCCAUCGGCAUCAUCGAACCAUGUUAGUAAUCCAUAAAAACUGGAAGCUCGAAAUGACUGAUCAAAGGAUUUGAUCCAUUUAGUUCUGUUCUUCUCUGCUUUUAUAGCACACCCAUAUAGAGGUAUCUUUCUAACGCUAAGCGCGCUGCUUCUCCUGUCCAAGUGAAGAGUAUCUUAGAAAAGUCCUUCCAGCUUGCAUAUUUCUUCUGCCAUUAAGAAUGGAACAUCUCUCAACUUGUAAGUGUUAGAGAUGUUGCAUUCUGUUGCAGGUUUUGGUUGAUUAAAGAAUCCUCUCAGAAGCCCGUGUAUAUUAGUAAAAGAUGUGACUUUCACGAGUUUGACUUUUCUUGUUCGUUAAAUAGAAAGUGAACUCACAGGGUUUUUCUUCAAAACGUUGCUAUGCAAAAAGCUUUGUUUCUUCAAUUUCUUGGAGAGGUUCCACCUGCUCAAUUUAUAAUUGGUGUUGUGCUAUGUAUCGAUUUUAGUGUUUAUUUUGUUAGACACCCCUAAACCUAUUAUUUCAUUUAUUUUUUUUAAAUAUAUAUAUAUAUAUUACAUUGUGCUGUUUCGUACACACAAAAAUAAUAUAUUUUAUUGUAACCAUUAAGAAUUUUGUAACGACUGAAGAUACUUUUAAGAGUUGAAUCUUUUAUAAGAUUUUUCAAAAAAAGAUUAAGGAAUAAGAGAUCAAAAGUCUCGUCUUAAGUUGGUAUAAAUACUUUGUAUUGAUUAGUAUUAAAACCAAUUCAAUAAUUUGGAGGUUCUAUAGUUCUCAGUUUGUUUGGUGAAUCAAAACCUAUAUAUCAUCUAUAGAGCAUUUGCCUCUUAAUAAUGUUUUCGCCAUCUGUUCUAGAAUUAACAGCGACAAGAAAAAGAAGAAGCACUUGAAGGUUUGAUAGAUGGUGUUCACCUCUAGAAGGUGUUUGGACAAACUUGAGCCAGCAAGAGGCGAAGAUGUCUUGGGAGACCGGCUUGGUAAUAUUAAAUAUUUUUUUCUUUCAAAAAGUUGUUGUUUACUAAACUUUAAUCAUGCAGAACUAUUGGCAACAAGAGAAGCUCUACCCAUACUUGUAAAUAAUCAUGUUGAAGUUGCAGAGACAUUUUUAGUUAGAAAUGACUAGGUAAUGGCAAUUUCUUGGAUGGUGAACAAUUUAUUUCCAUGGGUAAUGAAUGGCAUGGAAACGUAAUAAAAAAUUUUAAGCAAGAGCUUGGAGAUUUGAACUUUAUGUGUUAGUAGGAAGAAAAAUAAUAACAAAAUAAACAACUCUUUAGCGGUGAAGAUGGGUAGUUUGCGCAUCCAAAACUCUAAUAGUUUCAGUUUUAGGAUGAUUAACUGGUCGAUUAAUCAGUUUUUCUGUAGUGGUUGUUGUAAAUAUUUUUAUGAAUUUAUUAUUUUUAUCAUAUUUAUUUUUGAAUUAAUUUAAAAUUAUUAGGACAGCUCCUAUAGUUUUUUUUUAUAGUUAGAUUAACUUCAUAAUAAAAUCUAAUUAAAAUAACCAUUAAGGAAGAUCAUACAAAUUAGGUAUAAUUAAGAAUUUAUAUCAGAGAUAUGAAUCCCAAAAAAAUUAUUACAACACCUUCUACUUUAUUUGCAAGAUAAUCAAAAACAAAAAAGAAGACACUACACUAGAAUUAUCAAAAUUACUCAUAGUUAUGUAAUAUAUAUAUAUAUAUAUAUAUGAGUAUAUAUACUACUCAUACAUGACCAUGAUAUUUACCUGCUUUCCCUUUUCCCUUUCUUUUAGCCAUGGAGGUUGGUUCAGCAGCUAAUUUUAGGGUUUUGCCAAAGCCAUCUGUGCUAGUUGAUUGAUCUUCAUGGAGGUCUUGCACUGACCUCUUUCUGCUUUCUUCAGCACUUCCUUUGGCGACUUUAUCAUUAGUCCCCCAACCCAUCGCCAAUUUGUAAAGUCAUUAAUGCAUAUAUAUAUAUAUAUAUGCUUAAUAUGAAUGCCA
This 10061-nucleotide long non-coding RNA is filed under the name Carica papaya (papaya). RNAcentral describes it as "long non-coding RNA (CPAP_LNC012777)". Lineage: Eukaryota; Viridiplantae; Streptophyta; Magnoliopsida; Brassicales; Caricaceae. The record is from RNAcentral.